UUAGGAAUUUUGCACAAUGGCCGAAAGGCUGAUGCAGCAACGCCGCGUGGGGGAAGAAGGUCUUCGGAUCGUAAACCUCUUUUCUGGGGGAAGAUAGUGACGGUACCCUGGGAAUAAGCCCCGGCUAACUACGUGCCAGCAGCCGCGGUAAUACGUAGGGGGCUAGCGUUGUCCGGAUUUAUUGGGCGUAAAGGGCGCGUAGGCGGCUUGCCAAGUCGUGCGUGAAAUACUCCGGCUCAACUGGAGUGGGUCGUGCGAGACUGGUGGGCUUGAGGUCGGAAGGGGAAAGUGGAAUUCCCGGUGUAGUGGUGGAAUGCGUAGAUAUCGGGAGGAACACCAGUGGCGAAGGCGGCUUUCUGGACCGAUCCUGACGCUGAGGCGCGAAAGCGUGGGAAGCAAACUGG
Molecule: ribosomal RNA, 404 nt
Filed under: uncultured prokaryote
Also listed under: 1 other name
Description: bacterial SSU rRNA
Rfam family: Bacterial small subunit ribosomal RNA
Source: RNAcentral